Molecule: long non-coding RNA, 6368 nt
Organism: Mirounga angustirostris (Northern elephant seal)
Lineage: Eukaryota; Metazoa; Chordata; Mammalia; Carnivora; Phocidae
Exons: 2
Source: RefSeq, a predicted model, not a curated record
GUUUUUUCUCUUAAAGCUGUUAUUGAUGGGGUGUCUUAAAAUUGAGGAAGUACAGAAAUUGCUAUUCUUGGUGAUGCCCUUGAAUCUUUAAGUGAAGGUUUAAAUUUUGUUUAGCACAUACAUAUGUAUAUUUUUAAAAUAGUAGCUCUUAAAAUAAUUUAUAAAGUUUUUAUAAUACACUUUUAUAAAGUUUUAUAAAGUCUGUCCAAAAUGUUUGUUUUUACAGACUCUUAAAUACAGAGAACAAACUGAUGGUCAGCAGAGGGGAUGUGGGUGGGGGCAUGGGGGAAAUAGGUGGAGGGGAUUAAGUACACUUACCAUGAUGAGCCCUGAGUAAUGUACAGAAUUCUUGAAUAACUGUGUCGGACACCUGAAACUAAUAUAAUACUGCAUGUUAACUCUACUGGAAUUAAAAUUAGAAACUUAGUAAAAUUGAAAAAAAGUUUUUAUUUUUAAAAGUGUUCAUGAUUCAGUGAAAGGUAAACCCUUAGAUGUCGGGAAGCCUCAGCAGUCCCGUUCUCUGAAGGUUCCCCGUGCUGGUGGCUUGCCUGUCCUGUCCAUCGACAGUCCGUGUCCAUUUCCCCCUCCCUGCCUCACACCGAGCACACGGUUUACAGAGCAAACUGUUUAAACAGAGUAGUGAGAUAGGCAGGCAGACGGGUAAUCUGAAUGUUUUCACGUGAGGAUACUGAGGACGAAGGCACGCAAAGUAAUCCUCCCAAGACCGCACACCAUGUGAGGGACAGACAGGGAGCACACUCUCUUUAGCUGCCCACAACUUUAUUCAAAUCACAGAGCUGUGUGGCCUGGAUUGAGGCAAAAAAAAUCAGAUGAACUUGCCAAUAAUUCAAGAUGACUGAUUAUUGGAUAGUCUUCCCAAAAAAGCGGUCGCUUGAGACAUUUAGGGCUGGUUGGAUGCAUCCCUGGAAAUAUAUUAUGAAGAAUAUGGAAAAUAUUUCACUUCUAAUUUCCAGAAUCAAUAUUGUAAUGUCUGUCAUUUUUAUCCCCCUACCUGUGAAAUUGAAAAUUUUUUUAGUAUACUUAAACUGAAUUCUCACGGCUUUUUAAAAAAUGCUAAAUAUUCCCUGCCUCCUUUUCUCCCCCAACUCUCUGGCCCCGACAAGUCACUCCAAGCUGUGUUUCCCGAUCUCUGCUUUUUUUCGUCCUUGCCCUUUCGUACUGCAUUGCUUGCCCAAAACACAUUGACCGGAUCCCUGCAGUUCUUCUGUGAAACAGACAACCAUGGUUCUGACACAAAGCUGGGCUCUUUGGCCCAUGGGAGAGCCAUGGGGAUUGAGUGGGAUUGCUUUAUGGGAUAUUCUGAAUUUCAUAAUUUCUUUUCAAUAGCACUGGAUUCUCUGUGUUUGAGUUUUUCUGAAUGUGUAAAUCCAUAUUGCGAAAGAGAUUGGUUAAUGUAUAUUGUUUAAAGCAGGAUAAAAUAAAGACUCAUUUAAUUGGAACUCUUAAGGAAGAGCAUUUUUUUAUGUGUUCCACUUUUUUUUUUCUCCCCCAACUUUAGUAUUAAGAACCUUAUUGGAAAAAGACUUUUGCCAAGUAUCUGAUGGGAAGCCAAGAAAAGCAUUUUAAUAGAACUGUCUCAAAUUUAUAGUGCACCAGGGCCUGCAAAUAAAUUUUCCUGUCUUUAAGGUUUGCGCUGAUUUGCAGUUACUUUGUAUAGCUUCUGAGAUUUAAAUCCUCACAGUCCAGAUGGAGAGACCAUAAAGCUGCUUUCCUUGGCAGCCCUGGCACACCUUGUCCCCAGGCAAACAGAAGUGAGUCGUGUGUGCAACCUGGUCUGGAAAUGCUCACUUAUCUUAUUAUGGUACCAGCUUUAAUGAGUUCAGUGGCUCUUCCUAGAGCAGCCCACCUAAAUAUUCUCCAAAUGUAGGAGAAUUAGAGUCUUUAAUUUCAUAAUGCAAACCCAUCAAAUAAGUAUGUAUUAAGCACCUGCUCUAUUCCUAGUAUUAUACAGGCAUAUUGAGGGAGACUUUUUUUUUUUUUUUUUUUUUUUACGAAGCAGGGUGAAGGGCUCAGAUCCUGUCUUUAAGAAAGGCCCCGAGGCUGCUGGGGAGAGUCCUUUCAGUAAUACACCCACUACAAGGCCAGAAGUGCUGUCACUCAGGUGUGCUAUGGAGAGUCAGGAGUCAAUCGGAGGUGAAGGGAAUCUUCACAGCGGCUAGGCUCGGAGAGAGAGAGCACAAGCAGGGGGAGUGGCAAGCAGAGGGAGAAGCAGGCUCCCCGCUGAGCAGGGAGCCCGACGCGGGACUCGAUCCCAGGACCCUGGGACCAUGACCUGAGCUGAAGGCAAACACUUAACCAACUGAGCCCCACCCAGGCGUCCCUGAGCAAGGACUUCGAAUAGCAGCGGCCUAGGAGGAAGGGGAAAGCAGUAUUCAUUAAGGAGAUUGAGAAACAAAAUCAAAGAAGGGACCUUCGAAACUGUUCAACCUUUCUUCGUAUUUUAUAAAUGACACAUAAGCCCUAGAGGUCAGGUGAUCUUUUUUUUUUUUUUUUUAAGAUUCUAUUUAUUUAUUUGAGAGAGAGCGAGUGUGUGUGUGCGCGCGCGCGCACGAGCAGGGGGAGUGGCAGGCAGAGGGAGAAGUGGGCGGGACUUGAUCACAGGACCCUGGGAUCGUGUCCUGAGCCAGAGGCAGAUGCUUCACUGAGUGAGCCACCCAGGCGUCCCAAGUUCAGGUGAUCUUGAGAAUGAAGUGUUAGGGCCAGGGUUGAGCCUGACUGGAUCCCAGGUCUCCUCACUAUCUGUCUGAUGAUUUUGGGUGGGGGUGGGGGAGCCCGGACAUUGGGUACUGCAGUAUUUUCCAGACCAAGGGUCAUGAUUCGUUAGUUAGAUCAUGAAGUCAAUUCACUGGGUGAUGACUGGCAUUUAAUUUUUUUAAAAAUGAAAUAUAAUAGAAAGGACAAUAUCAGCAUAUUACCCAGUAAAGAUAAAUACUUUCAGAAACCUCUAUUUCAGUUAUAUAUGUGGAUGAGCUAUGAGCUCAGUAUAAAAUAUGUUCAUUUCUUAGUCCAAAAAGUUUGAAAAAUGUUGGCAGUGGCAAGCACGUGGGUUUUUGAGUUGGAGAGACCUGAGUUCUAAAUCCUAAACUGUGCCACAAAUCCUAACCUGUGUCUGUGGGCCAGUUACUUAACUUGUUGAAGCUUCCCUUUCCGUACUUCAGACCUGGGGCUAGUACCACUGUGGAGCAGUUGUGUUGAUUACAUGAAAUCAUGGAAGCAUCUGGGUUCUGGUCUGCCUGCUCCAUGCUGGCAGUCAUUUGGGAUUGCUCUGCUUGGGUUUGGGUUUGAAUAUUGGAAGGAGCCUUCUGGUAUGGAGUUUGGUCUUAAGGAACCACAGUGAGUUACCAACAUGGAUGUAUUAUGCAUUUGCUUCUGGGCUUGGAAACUUGAAACAAUUUAUUCCUGUGGGUCUGGUGUACUUUCUACAUCUUGGCAUGGAAGGCAGUUCACCUCUCUGUUUUUCUGUUAGGAUCCGAAUGGCUGAUUAAAAUCCGUAGUUCUCGGGGCGCCUGGGUGGCUUGGUCAUUAAGCGUCUGCCUUCGGCUCAGGUCAUGAUCCCAGGGUCCUGGGAUCGAGCCCCGCAUCGGGCUCCCUGCUCGGUGGGAAGCCUGCUUCUCCCUCUCCUGCUACCCCUGCUUGUGUUCCCUCUCUCUCGCUGUGUCUCUCUCUGUCAAAUAAAAAAAAAAAGUGUUUCGCUAGCUAGCCUUUAAAAAAAAAUUCAUUGGCGCGUUUGGAUAAAGCACUAUUACUUUUUCUUCUUUCCAGUGAGAAAAAAAUUUUGUACUGAGUUUUUUUUCCUUCUUCAGAUGUGUUCUCUGCCAAAUGAUGAUUUUAUUCAUUUUUUGAACUGAAAAAUUAAAAAAGAAAUGAACUUAAAGAGAAAAGUUACGAUCAGAAUUGACGCUGGGGUGGUAAAGGGUUGAAGAACUUGAGUUCACUGGGUAAGAACUAAAAAUAAAGGGAAUUUUUAUGAGCGUUUAAGAGGACCGGCCAGAUAGCUUUUAGAAAUAGCUGUUGUUCCCAUCUCACUGAAAAGAGACUGAGUUCUGUUCUAUUUCCCAGUACUCUCUGCCUCUUCCUUUUUCCUCUCCUCCUCCUGCUACCUCUGCCUCCCUCCCCCCAUUACUUUCUGGCCAGCUCUAUCCCAGAUUUAAAAUCACUCUGGGGAGCGGGGACGGGAGCUUCAUCCCCCAGAUGAUGUGGGCCAGGGGCUAAAACACUGCCAUAAAUCUGUAGCUCAUUUUAAUGCCACGUUAAACCAGUGUGAGCGGCUGGUUUCCGUGGCCCCUGCCCUGUUUCUUUAUGGGCGUCUUUGGCUCUUCUUUCUAAAGAGGCCCCGCGGAGUCAUUUUAAAGUUCUUAUCAGUUUGCUGACAGCUAUAUGGGUCUUUCUGCCGAGUCCAGGAGCUCAGGCAGGCGUGUGAAACUUCUGAUAUUAAAAUUGAAGAAAAAUGCCAGGCAGGAGGGAUUGGGUGGUGUGGCCGUGAUUUGGAGGUCAAAGACUAGCGAGCUCAUUAACCUGUGCAGAUCCAGAACCCUGCCCUUGGCUGGAUGAGUCGCUUUCUUGGUUGGUGGAGGCAGCCAUUUUAUCCCUCGAUUAGAAAGUGCCAUUCCACGGGCAGUUUGUGCUUUCGAGCUUCGGCAAGUGAGUUGGGCAGCCCCGAAGGGCUAGGGGAGCCAAGUUUACCAUGUACGUGUUUUCUAAAGGCCGCCUGACUGGCUGGGCGUCUGCUCACACGUCUUUGCCCGCUCUGGCUUGCCGUGUCUUUGCCCACAGCAUCACUUACCAAAUUUAAAGGGACUCUCCUCAGUCUGCUUUGCUGCCCCUUUUAGACCAGACUGCUAACCCCCAGUAAUCCUCCCAGAGUGCUUCAUGGAAACGCCAGGCCCUCUAUAAAUGUCAGCCUGCAAUACCUGGCCCUUUUUACCCUCUCACUUACAGAGAAGUGGACUGGAAGCUGCUCCUCCCUCUUCCCUACCACUUUUCCUUUCUUUCUUUGCUGGAAAACUCCCGCAGCAGACAGCUGAGGGGAAGGAAAAACCAUUACCUGGAUCAAGGCCAGCAGCUUGAUGGGAGCUUCAGAAUCUCUGGCAUCUCCAGACCAGAAUGUUUUUCCAGGCGUUUCAAAAGGUGCUCCCCUGCCCUCCUUCUCCUUUCAGUUUUCCAACCUUGAGUUCCAGAGUGGAUGGAAUAUGCCCUCAGGAUGUGCUUUCUAUCUGCCUGCUCUUCUCCUAACUGAAGCCUUUAGGAAGACAUUAGUAGAGAUAAGCAAAACCCAAUGGAUAUGUAUUUUUAAGUGCUGCGUACCCUUUUGGCACCAAACACAUUAUUUUUCCCUUUUCAGAUAGUUUUGGACAUGAGCAGUUUUGCAAGUGUGUUCAAUUUAAAAUAGCCAUUUAACUUGAGGUUGAGGCAAAAGCAAGGAAUUUUUGUAGUAAGUUAGUCAAAUUAUAUGGCUGUUGAUCUAGGAUUAAUGAUUUUCAUUGAGUGAACAGUAAAAAUAUACUGGUUUGUUUUAUUGCUCAUGUAGCUCCUGUGGGGAGAGUAAUUAGGUAUAAAAACCAAACGAGCAAUAAAACAAAAUGUCCCAAACUCCAAAGCGAUAGAACUGCUUUUUUAUACAUUUUUUGGGUGGACUAAAUUGAUAUCUGGUAAUCAGUUAAGAAGUUUAACAAACUGGGUAUUAUUGUUUAUGGUGUAAUUUUAACAAACUUACUGAAAAAAUAUGUAAGUUAUGAGACUAAGUUACAUAAAAAUAACUUGAGUAUAUUGGAAGUUCUCCGUAAAUACGUGAUUAUGAACAAUCAUUGCACAGCCUUUUCAUGAUGGGAUGGUCAGUUUCCUCUUUGGGCAUUAGUUGGAGAGCUGUCUCUAGAGUUAACAUGGGUUAAUCCCUUUUAAUGAGUCCCCAGUAUGGGACAUUACUUCAGGAAAUGGCCUCUCUAAUAAAAGUGUUAAAUAUUAAUUUGCAGCCUAUAUAAAAAUUGUCUGACUCUUUGGGGCUGGUUUCCCACAGAGUGGGACUAUUUGGAAGCAUUUCUGAGAAAUAAUUGCUCAUUACGGGAAACCCAGUGCAGCUUUUGUAAAUUUGUUAUAUGCUUAAAACAUAUCUAGGUUUGUUUACAAAACAAUAACCUGUCAAUUAUCAAGUAUUUUUAUGUUUGGUAAAGAAUUUACUGUAUUCAGGGGCACCUGGGUGGCUCAGUUGGUUAAGCGACUGCCUUCAGCUCAGGUCGUGAUCCUGGAGUCCUGGGAUCGAGUCCCACAUCGGGCUCCCUGCUCAGCGGGGGGUCUGCUUCUCCCUCUGACCCUCUUCCCUCUCGUGCUCUCUGUCUCUCAUUCUCUCUCUC